RNAcentral lists this small nucleolar RNA (121 nucleotides) under Echinops telfairi (small Madagascar hedgehog). RNAcentral's name for it is "Small nucleolar RNA SNORA61 (ENSETEG00000025547.1)". The record is from RNAcentral. Lineage: Eukaryota; Metazoa; Chordata; Mammalia; Afrosoricida; Tenrecidae.
ACCCUCCAAAUUCCUUACCCCUCAGAUCUAAAUAUUGGCCUGAGAGGCUGUAAAAAGAGGAAAAGUAAAACUGAAGGGGACUUGGAAUCUUUAGUGACAAACAAGUUAACUGCAAACAAAG